RNAcentral lists this ribosomal RNA (834 nucleotides) under Triticum aestivum (bread wheat). RNAcentral describes it as "partial small subunit ribosomal RNA". Lineage: Eukaryota; Viridiplantae; Streptophyta; Magnoliopsida; Poales; Poaceae. The record is from RNAcentral.
AUGUGCUUCGUCGACGGCCAAACAACCAGAGCCGGGUGCAAGCGGCCGCUCAUGCUGGCUGUGCGCGAGCACGAGCACCACCGUGCCGCUGCAGAACGGGCCAAGCGGACUAACAUGUCAGCGGUUGCCGGCGCCCUAGUCAUGUACGUGGCGCCGGCGCCGCCCGGCCAGGACGAACCCGUAAAUGCUGUCCCGCUGGCCGCCGCCUCUCCGAGAAGGAGCAGGGAGGCGCCGGACUGGAUACCCAAGGUCCUUCUCCCGCAACUGAGACUGUGCGCUGACUUAACCGUGACCUUCAUCGACGAGAAGGCCGUGACGAAGAGCGACCUUGACCCUCAGCAGAACCGGUUACGCCUCCGGACCGACGGCGUGCGCCGGCUACUCCCACUCCUCACUGACGACGAGGCCGCGGCCGCCAACCUACUAUACGACCAACCACGCGUUCGAAGGGCAAGUCCGAUGACACCGCCAGAGGACGACGACGCGGUGCAGGGGAGGAAGGGAAUGAAGAGGCUGGGGAGGAAGCACGGCGGGCUGCCCAUGCACGUGGUGGCCAGCAGCAACCUGAGCAUCGAGAUCAAGCAGCUGGAGCUGUCGAGGUGGGACGGCAGCCAGGGCACGGUCAUCAAGGGAGCAGGGUACCACGACUUCAUCGGCAAGUGCGGCUUCAGGGAGGAUGACCUCGUCGAGAUAUGGGCAUUCAAGCAGAGGGAGUUCCGGAACUUUGGGGUGAAUAUGUGCGAUGAGAGCCCGCUCUAUAUCGUGCUAGUCAACAAACAAACACGGCGAGCGGCGGCGGCCCGUGGUGUCGCCGUUGCCGGCCCCGCCGCGUGA